Long non-coding RNA from Grus americana (Whooping crane), 951 nucleotides. RefSeq lists it as uncharacterized. The transcript has 3 exons. Lineage: Eukaryota; Metazoa; Chordata; Aves; Gruiformes; Gruidae. The record is from RefSeq and is a predicted model, not a curated record.
AAACACUGGGCUGCAGAUCUUGUUAUGCAGCACUCAUGACUCUGAUGAGCAAAAGCCUGGGAAAAAUAAAGAGGCUCUGCUGACAGAACUCCCUUCAGCACUGAUCGCUGGGGUUCCCAGCAGCUCACUUUUUUUCCUGUAAACCAGGGAAAGAAUGGAAGGAAAGUCAUCAAAAAUGGUCUUGGGUAACUUGCUCUUUGCUUCCCCUUAGCACUGUACUUUGCUGGGUGAAAGGUUUGAGAUGUGGUUCCCAAGGGUGUGAUUUUAAAUGAAUGGGAGCAAUGUCUAAAUGUUGUCAUUAGCUUAAAAACAUUUUUGAAAAGUUAAUGAUGAAAUUUGUUCUAACUGUUCUUCCCAGAUGUGACCUUGUGACUGAGCACUGUAAAUUUCAUCAAAGCAUGAAGGUGCUACCAGCUUGGACUUCAGAUUUGAUCUCCGUGAUGCUUGUAAACUCCAGCAUCCUGAAUUCCUUAUUCCUGUCCCAUGAACAGUUCUAUUUCUGGAAGUCCUCCAAUGCAAACAGGCAGACUUUGGGUUAAAGAGUUAAAGACGACAUUGUUUCUGAUUGCUACCGACAGUGUCAGUGAGCCAAGGUGACUUCUUUCCUUCUGAUAGAUCCUCACAUCCGCUCUAGACUCUGCCAGCCAAAUGAUGCCUUUAUUUACAUCCUGCCUCCGCACCGUCUUCAAGCCGUGUCCUUGCUGAUACCCGAGCAGCUGCGGCGAGAUUGCACAUGUGCAGGUCAUUUUUACAGACUCUUGAACACACGCUCCUGGAACAGAGAUUCAGCUGUAUAUGUAACGUAAUAUAAAGUAACAGGGCUCAAGAGGUAUAUAUUCUCUGAUGGUGCAACGAAUGUUUCCCAGCUCCCAGGUUUAAACACCUGGAAGGAAAAUCAUGCAGAGGGGGUGGUAUGCUCCUUCAGUGUGCCCUACCUGGAAUGACCUUGGG